This 72-nucleotide transfer RNA is filed under the name Ovis aries (sheep). It matches the Rfam family "tRNA". From Rfam's summary of the family: Transfer RNA (tRNA) molecules are approximately 80 nucleotides in length. The record is from Rfam by way of RNAcentral. Lineage: Eukaryota; Metazoa; Chordata; Mammalia; Artiodactyla; Bovidae.
UCGCUAGUAGCUCAGAUGGUAAAGUGUCCGCCUACAAUGCGGGAGACCCGGGUUCGAUCCCUGGGUUGGGAA